RNAcentral lists this ribosomal RNA (245 nucleotides) under uncultured Ruminococcus sp. RNAcentral describes it as "partial 16S ribosomal RNA". It matches the Rfam family "Bacterial small subunit ribosomal RNA", at positions 524 to 768 of the family's 1533-position model. The record is from RNAcentral. Lineage: Bacteria; Bacillati; Bacillota; Clostridia; Eubacteriales; Oscillospiraceae.
UACGUAGGGAGCGAGCGUUGUCCGGAAUUACUGGGUGUAAAGGGUGCGUAGGCGGGGCUGCAAGUCAGAUGUGAAAUGUAUGGGCUCAACCCAUGAACUGCAUUUGAAACUGUGGCUCUUGAGUGAGGUAGAGGUAAGCGGAAUUCCUAGUGUAGCGGUGAAAUGCGUAGAUAUUAGGAGGAACAUCGGUGGCGAAGGCGGCUUACUGGGCCUUUACUGACGCUGAGGCACGAAAGCGUGGGGAG